This 25987-nucleotide long non-coding RNA is filed under the name Amborella trichopoda. Lineage: Eukaryota; Viridiplantae; Streptophyta; Magnoliopsida; Amborellales; Amborellaceae. The record is from RNAcentral.
AGAUAAUUUGUGUGCUUGGGAGUCCCUGAUGAUUGAAUAGACCAAGAUCUUGCCAUGGCUGCAAUUUUAGAGAGACGUGAAAGCACAAGCUUAUGGGGACGCUUCUGCGACUGGAUAACCAGCACCGAAAACCGUCUUUACAUUGGGCGGUUCGAUGUUUUGAUGAUCCCUACCUUAUUGACCGCAACUUCUGCAUUUAUUAUCGCCUUCAUUGAGGCUCCUCCAGUAGAUAUUGAUGGGAUCCAUGAACCUGUUUCUGGUUCUCUAUUUUAUGGAAACAAUAUUCUUUCUGGUGCCAUUAUUUCAACCUCUGCAGCUAUAGGUUUGCAUUUUUACCCAAUAUGGGAAGCGGCAUUCGUUGAUGAAUGGUUAUACGAUGGUGGUCCUUAUGAGUUAAUUGUCCUACACUUCUUACUUAGUGUAGCUUGUUACAUGGGUCGUGAGUGGGAACUUAGUUUCCGUCUGGGUAUGUGCCAUUGGAUUGCUGUUGCAUAUUCAACUUCUGUUGCAGCUACUAUUGCUAUUGGUCAAGGAAGUUUCUCAGAUGGUAUGCCUCUAGGAAUAUAUGGUAUUUUCGACUUGAUGAUUAUAUUCCAGGAGGACCACAACAUCCUUAUGCACCCAUUUCACAUGUUAGGCGUACCUGGUGUAUUAGGCGGCUCCCUAUUCAGUGCUAUGCAUGGUUCCUUAGUAACCUCUAGUUUGAUCAGGGAAACCACUGAAAAUGAGUCUGCUAAUGCAGGUUACAGAUUCGGUCAAGAGGACGAAACCUAAAAUAUCGUAGCUGCUCAUGGUUAUUUUGGCCUAUUGACCUUCCAAUAUGCUAGUUUCAACAAUUCUCGUUCCUUACAUUUCUUCCUAGCUGCUUGGCCCGUAGUAGGUAUUUGGUUUACUGCUUGGGGUAUUAGCACUAUGGCUUUCAACCUAAAUUGUUUCAAUUUCAACCAAUCCGUAGUUGACAGUCAAGGUCGUGUCAUCAGCACUUGGGCUGAUAUAAUCAACCAUGCUAACCUUGGUAUGAAAGUUAUGCAUGAACGUAAUGCUCACCAUUUCCCUCUAGACUUAGCUGUUGUUGAAGCUCCAUCUACAAAUGGACAAGACUUCGUUCUUAGUGUAUACGAGUCGUUGAAGGAACAAUACCAAAUGUCUUGUUAUAUUUGGUAUUGUUCUGUUCAAUUCAGUAGUUUUUUAUUAGCAUGAUUCUUUCUUUCAAUCCAAUAAGUUUAUUUACUUCACUUCAACAUUUCUCGUAUGGUUCAUGAUUAAUUAACAUACUGUUUUUCUUUUCGUUUCGUGGUGUACUAAUCCAUAAUUAAUGUACAUUCCGUGAAAUCCUUGAAUUUUUCCUUCAUUUCUAUUCUAAGAUAAGAUAAUAAAAAGAUGAAUAAAUAGAGCUUUUAGCUUUCUACUUUUUCCUAGAGAUUUAUAAAAAAUAGAAAGAUAGGUAUGGGCAGAUGUAGCCAAGUGGAUCAAGGCAAUGGAUUGUGAAUCCACCAUGCGCGGCCCGUCGUUCGCCCGACUUCUUCUAUUUACAACAAUGAAGAAUGAAACUAUCACUAUAUUUCUUCUUUUUCCUACUUUGUCUUCCAAGUGCGGGCCAAGGGGUUGUGGGUUUUUUUCUACCAAUUGGGGCCUUCCCUUCACCACCCCCAUGGGGAUGGUCUACUGGGUCCAUAACUACUCCUCUUACUAUAGGACGCUUACCUAGCCAACAUUUAGAUUCAACUCUACCCAAAAUUUUCUGAUUCACCCCAACAUUACCCACAUGUCUGACUAUUGGUGAGCAGUUUUUGGAUAUCAAACAAACCUCCCCAUAUGGUAAUCUUAAUGUGGCCGAUUUACCCUCUUUUGCAAUCAGUUUCGCUAUAGCACCUGCUGCUCUAGCAAAUUGUCCACCUUUUCUAAGUGUUAUUUCCAUAUUAUGUAUGACAGUGCCUAAGGUCAUAUCGGUUGAAGUAGAUUCUUCUUUUUGAUCUAGAAAAACCCCUUCCAAACAAGCUUCUUCCAAAGCAUACAGCUUUCUGGAUGUAUAUGAUGAUAUCUAGACAGGUGGAUCUUAUAUGAAUCGUAUGAUGAAGUGCCACAUGAGUAGCUAUAUAGGAAUCCAAAUCUACCGAAUCACUCAUCCUAUGAUUUUCUACAUCGUAGGUCUCCCCAUUCCGUCAUCUGGCUUAUGUUCUUCAUGUAGCACUCAGACCGAAUGACUCUAUGAAAUUACGUCGAUACCACAUAUUACGGGUAACGUAUGAGACAUCUCCGUUCUUCCCCCAGGGGAUCUUUAGAAUUACCAUUGCUUAGCUUUCAAUUUGCCUCUGACCAUCAAAUGAAAUGUGAAUAACCCAUCCCCUUCUCUUUGAAACAAGGGGCGGUUCCGGCUCCAUCCGUGCUUCAAACAAUUUAGUCUUCUCUAUAUUACCAUAUCUCUAGAGUAAAUCAUUUUAUAUGAGGAACCACUGAACUCAAUCACCUGCUGCCGUUACUCUUCAGUUUUCUGUUGAGGUCUAUCCCGUAAAGGUACUCAAAUUGGAUCAGUGAUUGAUUUUUAGGUUUUUUCGUCAACUUAAUUGGUUACUUCCAAUUACAUAAAUCAAUGGUUCACACCGCACUCAAAGGUAGGGCAUUUCCCAUUGAUAUAGGAGCUUCUGUAUCAGAUACAAUGGUAUCUCCAAUUAUAGCCCCUCUGGGAUGUCAAAUAUAUCUCUUCUCACCAUCCUCAUAGUGUACGAGACAAAUGUAUGCAUUUCGAUUAGGGUCAUAUUCUAUGGUUACGAUUCUACCAGAUAUGUCGUUUUCAUUCCGUCAAAAAUCGAUUUGACGGUAUAGACGCUUAUGACCCCCCCCCCUCUAUGCCCUGCAGUAAUGAUUCCUUUGGCAUUACGACCUUUACCAAAACGAUGUUGUCCAUAGAUCAAAUUAUUUCGUGGAUUGGAUUUCACUUGACUGUCUAUGGCUCCAUUACGUGUGCUCGGGGUAGAAGUUUUGUAUAAAUGUAUCGCCUAUAAAGUAUUUUGAUUUAAGUCCUCUUCUCUAUAAGAAGUGGAAUAGAAUAACCCGGUUGAAGCGUAAUGAUCAUAUGUCUGUAAUGCAUUCUAUGCCCCAUAAGAGGUCCCAUUCUUCUACCCUUUCUCGGGAUCGGGAGUCGAUGACUAUUCAUAGCUAUUACCUUGACACCAAAGAAGAGUUCAAUCCAAUGCUUUAUUUCUGCCCUAGUUGAUCCUAUUUCGACAUUAGAAGUCUAUUGAUUGUUCCCCAAUAAUCGAAGAAUUUUUUCGGUAAAUACUGUCCAUAAAUCCAUUUUCUUCCUUAUGAGUUCUAGUAUCGAUAAGAAUUCUAGUUCUUACUAUUCAUAUGUUAUGGUAUGAAUAUACCAUACCAAUUCAUUAUGUAUGGAUGAUGAGAUUCGAUUGAUACACAGCCAAUUCCAAUAGACUUAUUAAACAUUAAUCAAAAUCAAAGAAGAGCUCGCUCGGUAGAUCAAUAAAAGAUCGAAGUGCUUUCAAUUAACACAUUAGAGUACAAUAGGGAUAACUUAACACCAACCCAAUCUCGAAGGAUUGAUGAAGAUCGUCCAGUUCCUAUAGAACCUAUCACUAAAAUACCCCUAAAAGGGGAUAGGUCUAAGCGGAGCGAAAACGGUUUCCAUGAGAUGGGAAAUGAGAACUAUUAGCCCCACACGAUGUUUGUGAAUAAGUGAUUGUCUAAUAAUGAGCAAGGAAUAUUCGACUUUCUGCUAAAUAAGAUCUAUUGAACUCAGAAUUCAUUAGAUACUUUUAUGAAUGUCAACUAAGUAUCACAAGUAAAUUGAUCCCGGUUGUUUAAUCAUUUGAUAACCAGAGUCAUUCUUUGAGAAAGGAUCACUAUGAGUCAGACUCCAUAGAAUUUGAUCAAUCCUUUUUUCUGUCGUUAAGGCGGAGAACUGAACCAAGAACUCUCUUUCUUCAUCGUCAAUCAAAUCAUUGUUCGCGACCUAGGAUUCUAUUUUCCCAUCAAUUCAAUCGCUGUUCAGGUUUUUUCCUCUUCUUAUCAAUGAAUAGAUCUCUUUACUCGUACGACUUAAACAUCUCGUAUUUAUAGAAAAAGUGAUUGGAUUGACGGGAUUUGGUAUGAGACUUAUGAGAUCGAUGAUACAGAUGAGAUUGAUAUUCAAAUCUUUCUUCUUAGAAUGUAUUGAUUUGACCCCAUAAGCGGGAUCGCCACCCCAUAGCAUGUUGCCGCCAGAAUCAGAAACCCUGUAUUUCUUCCGGAGAAUCUCCUAAUUGUUCAAGAGCAACUAGAAAGAGAUUCUUUAACCAUAAAGAAUUCAGUUCAGGUGAAGGAUAACUAUCCAGAAGCUUUCCCAACUCCAUCAUGUACGAUGGAAUCAUUAAAGAUUUGAUCUUUUCUAACUUUGUAUGUAACUCACUAGAGACUCAGGAAACAAAGAGAAGAUGUGUACGAACGAGAUAUCCAGCAACAAGAAGAAGGAAAAGGCUUGAAUAAAAGAACUCUCGAGGACUUGGUGUUCUCAGAUGUGUCCAUAGCAAUGGAACGGGUGACUCAUUAUUUCGAUGAAUCAUUUCUACGGACAGAAGAAGAUUCUAUAAACAUUUACUCGAAAUCUCACUUAUCAGAUUCCAUUGUAGAAGAAUCGCCUGCAAUUUUUUCUGAGGCCAUGCAUAAUAUCAUGAAAAAUGGAUACAAAUUUGUGACUGCUAUUCAGUAUCGGCAAUGGGUCUGAAAAAGUAUCUAAAAGGAUGAAAUUUAGAUAUUUGUACCCUGUCGAAGUAAGGAACCAUGGCAUAUAUGUUCGGAACAGAUUCCAUUUUGAGAUAUUUGAAAAACGUUGAAAGCAUCUGUCGUUUCUCAAUGCAUUUAUUUAGACAAAGAUUCCAUUUUUUCCUCUUUCUAGAUGGUAAAUAUUUCUCAGAACAGGGAGUGUGAAUCAAACCCAUGUUUGAAUUGAAACUGAGAUACUGAUGCAAGUUCUUCCCUUCUGAAUCCGAUCGAUUCAGAUCUCAAAGAGGCUGACAAUAAGUUCCUUCAAAAUUGACUCUUUGUUCCUCUGUCAAAGAGGUGUUCCAGAAAUGUUUGCGGUCGAGUAAAUAGCUCUACGAACGAUUUGUACAAGUUAUAUGUUUCGUCACCACUUUGUGGAAAAUUGUUAGGUAUGAAUAUGUCAUAUACCUAUGACUCAAUUGGAGAAGGUGAAAUCGUAUCUCUCUCCAAAAACACAUGUUUUCUUUACCAAAGAAAAUAACUUGUUGCGAAUGAAUGAGAUAUUGAGGAAUUAUCCAUAUGUAAGAACAUAAUUAUUGAUACGGGUAUUUUCAGCUUAAAAAGGGAAUCUUUUGUUACAAUAGAACCAAAAGUGAUGUGGAUUAUUCAAGAAUCGAAGUUGAUUUGUUUUAUAAAAAGAAGAUAUCAAUGAACUCCUAUGAAAGGGUUUCAAGGGAUUCAGCCAAUUAUCUCGAUCAUGGUAUAUCAUUGAGAAAUAGAAAUCCGUGUUCUCAAAGGAUUUCCCGUGAUUAUUCCUAGUAUGGAAUGAGUCAAUCAUCCACUUUGGUAUCUUAUUGAACCAAUAUCGUGCUAUUGUUCCUCCAUUGAUCAAGAAUUUCGAUCUUUGGGAAGUAUCAUGAUCAUCUAAUAAGAAAGGUUUCAAUUUGUUCAAAUGAACGAUUUGGACACCUAUUGAUUCUAACAACUGAUUGCAGAGUUGAUCAUUCGGACCUUUCAAUUCAUAGAUGUGGAUUUUGGACUUAUGAACGGGGAUAUUCUCGAUACUCACAAAGAAAAAAGGAAGUGACUUAGACAAAAAGAGAAGCGACUUGGACAAAAAGAAACGAAAUGACUUAGACAAAUCUUGUUUGUCGAUAACCUCGAACCAAUCAAUCGAAUGUUGAUUAAUACGUAAUCGAUCGAACACUACUUGAAAACAGUUCUUCUGUUCAGAAACGAAAUGUUCCAAAUGUUCUUGGAAAUUUUUGCUCCCAUUGGACCAUUUGUAUCUAUAUGCAUUAAGAUCCCGAUUCAUGGAUCUCUCAGUUUGAGAAAUAAGAGGAUCAAACCAUUUCUUCUUACUCUUUUUCAAAUUCGAGAAAUGGUGGUUGAUCGUAUAUUUCAUUAUAGUUAAUAUGAUUCAGAGUAUCAUUUCCUAUUUGAUCCCUUUGAAUUCCAUAUUCGAAGUUGCGAUCGGAUCUAUUCAUUAAAAAGAAUCUCUUCGAUACAUUUCUUAUGCUUUUUCAGAUAUAGUGGAUUUGAAUCAUAUUUCGGAUCAAUCUAUGUUGAUUGACUGCCUCCAUUAUGUUGUUGCUAGCAACUACCACUAUUUUUGGAUCUUCCAAACCAUUCAUGCAGGAGAUCCGAACCAAUUUUAUUCUGAUCCUUUGAUAAAAAGAUUCAUUCUCUUCAUACUUUUGGUAGAACCAAUAAAGAUUUCUUUUUCGAUUCAUCCCUGGCCUCAUUCAAGAAUUUUUUUUGAUCCAAUCCAUAGGAAUCAAUAAAAAAGGCAAAUCCCUACUAUGUAGUAGUACAUACUAAUACAUACUAAUAAUAAUAGAAUGUACUACUAGUAUGUACUACUAGCAUACUACAUACUAGUAGUACAUACUACUAGUAGUACAUACUAGUACUACAUACUAGUAGUACAUACUAGUACUACAUACAAGUAGUACAUACUAGUACUACAUACUAGUAGUACAUACUAAUAUAUACUAAUAAAUACUAGUUGUACAAACUAGUAUGAACUGGUACAAACUAAUACUUACUAGUACAGACUAAUACAUACUAGUAUGAACUACUAGCAAACUACAUACUAAUAGUACAUACUACUAGUAGUACGACCAGUAGUACUAGUAAUACUAGUUGUACAUACUACUUGUAGUACUACCAAUAGUAAUAGUACUACUAGUAGUGCUUACUAUUGAAAAUACUACUAGUAGUACAUACUACUAGUAGUACUAUUAUUAUUAAUGUUAAUAUUAGUAGUAGUACUACUACUAGUACUAUUACUAAUACUAAUAUUAGAACAAGUAGUACAUACUACUAAUACUAUUACUCAUACUAAUAUUAGUAGUAGUAGUACAUACUCUUAGUACUACUAGUGUGGACUACUAUUACAACUAGUACUACUAGUACCAGUAAUAGUAGUACAUACUAAUAUGUACUAGUAGUAUGUACUAUAAGUAUGUACCACUAGAACUACUAGUAUGUACUACUAGUAGUAGUACUAGUAUGUACUACUCGUAUGAACUAGUAUGUACUACUCUAAUGUACUAGUAUGUACUACUAGUACGUAAUACUAGCAUGUAGUACUAGUUUGUACUACUAGGAUGUAUUAUACUUCUAGUAGUAUUAGUGCAUGUACUACUAGUAUGUUAGUAUGUACUAAUAUGUACAAGUAUGUAUCAUAGUAUGUACUAGUAGUAUUACCAGUAUGUCCUAGUAGUACUAGUAUGUACUACAAGUAGUACGUACUACUACUAAUAUGUACUAAUAGAAUGUACUAGUAAUAUGUACUACAAGUAUGUACUACUAGUAAUGUGUACUACUAGUAGUACAUACUAAUAGUAGUAUGUACUAAAAGUAGUAUGUAUUACUAAUAGUAUGCUAGUAGUACAUAUUAGUAUGUAUUAGUAUGUACUAGUAUGUAUUAGUAUGUACUAGUACAUACUAAUAUGUACUACAAGUAUGUAUUAGUACGUAUUAGUAUGUACUAAUAUGUAGUACUAGUAUGUACUAUUAGUAUGUACUUGUAGUAUGUACUACUACUAUGUAUUAGUAGUAUGUACUAGUAGUAUAUAUUAGUACUACUGGUAUCUACUUCUAGUAGUACUACUAGUAUGUACUAGUAUGUACUACAAGUAUGUACUAUUAGAAGUACUAGUACUACUAAUAUGUACAAGUACUACUAGUAUGUACUACUUUGUACUAGUAUGUACUACUAGUAUGUACUACUAGUAUGUACUAGUAUGUACUAAUAUGUACUAGUAUGUAUUAUUAAUACUAGUAUGUACUACUAGUACUACUCAUACUUUUACUAUUAGUACUACUAGUAGUUUUACUACUAGUACUAGUAUGUGCUACUAAUAUUAGUGCUACUAGUAGUAGUUACUAGUUUUACUCGUACUACUAGUAUGUACUACUAGUAGUAUGUACUUGUAUUAUUAGUAUUAGUACAAUACUAAUAUUAGUUGUAGUACUUUGAAAGGCACCCUCUGAUUUAAGAAUAAAAAAUGGAAGAUUGGUUAUGAAGAUUUCGCACGAUCAGAGAUUCGUAUAGACACAAAGGGGUUCGACAGGAAAGUCGUUUCGAUCCAAUCAAUUCUUGGGGUCUUAAAAAGAUACUGGAUAUGUCAGUUACCUUGCACGACAAAGCAUUCUCCGAGGGCAUGGAAUGUCUAAUUUUUCGGUCAGAAUCUCGACUGUAAUGUCUCUGUUAGAUUCUCAAGUAAAAAUAUGGGAAAACCCAAUUCCAUUCUCGAUGGAAACGGAGUUUUGUGAAUUAUCCCCAUAACUGCAAGAUCAUUUCGAGAUCUUCGAGCAUAUUUGAUGGUUCAAUGCGACUAUUGUCACUUCGGCCAAUACACAAGAUGAGACUUUACCACUGUAGAGCGGCUUUCUGCAAAAAGAUGAAGGGGAUUAUCUGUAAGAGAUCGGAGAAGAGAAAUAUACGAGAUCACAAAUAUAGAUUGCUCAUGGCUACUUAUGAGUUGAGAUGAAAGCUUUAUAAAGCCUUUUGUAAAGAUCUCGAUCUUCCUAGUGAUAUGCGAGACAAACAACAUUAUAAGUUGUCCAAGUUGCCAUGAAAUAGUUCGUUUGCACGAGUAGUACGAAGUACAUAGUACUACUACAUAUGUAUUAGGACUACUAGUACUACUAUUACUAGUACUACUAGUACUACUAUUAAUAGUACUACUAGUAGUACUAGUAGUACUACUACUAGUAGUACUAGUACAUACUAGUACAUAUUAGUUCAUACUAGUAGUACUAGUACAUUCUAAUAGUACUAAUACUACUAGUACAUACUACUACAUAUGUCUACUAGUAGUACAUACUACAACUAGUCGUACUAGGUACAUACUAGUUUGUACAAUUAGUAAUACUAGUAGCACUGGUAUAUACUACUAGUACUAGUAGUACAUAUAUAGACUAGUACUAGUACUGCUAAUGCUACUAGUACUUAUGUACUAGUAGUGCAUACAUACGUCUUACUAGUUCAAACAUAGUAGUACAUACAUAAAACUACUACUAUGUACUACUAGUGCUACUAGUUCAUACUACUACAUAUGUACAUCCACUAGAAGUACAUACUACUACUAGUAGUACUAUGUACAUAGUACUAUGUAGUACUAUGUAGUAUUACUAAUACUAGUAGUACUAGUAUUAUUACUACUACUAGUAGUAUGUACUAGUACUACUACUGGUAGUACUACAUUUAGUAUGCAUUACUAGUACAUACUAGUACAUACUAGUACUAUCUACUAGUAAUAGUAGUACUACUGGUAUGUACUACUAGUACUUAUGUACUAGUAUUGCAUACAUAUAAACUACUAGUACAUACAUAGUAGUACAUACAUACUACUACGAGUAUGUACUACUAGUACAUGCUACUACAUAUGUACAUCUACUAGAAGUACAAACUACUACUAGUAGUACUAUGUACAUAGUAUUAUAUAGUACUAGUCUCUAGUAUUAUAUAGUAGUACUAAUACAAGUAGUAGUACCUCUACUACUAUUAGUACUACAACCAGUAGUAUGUACUAGUACUACAACUAGUAGGACUACAUUCUAGUAUGCUGUACUAGUACUACAUAGUACAUACAAGAAUGUAGUACUAGUACUAAAUAGUACAUACAUGUACUACAAAGCACAUACUAGUAGUACUACUAGUAUGUACUACUAGUAAUACUACAAGUACUAAUACUGCUUGUACUACUAGUACAUAUGUACUAGUAGUACGUACAUAUGUACUACUAGUACAUAAACAGUAGUACAUACAUACUACUACUAGUACAUAUGUACUAGUUGUUCAUACAUAUGUACUACUAGUACAUACAAAGUAGUACAUAUAUACUACUACUAGUAUGUACUACUAGUGCUACUAGUGCAUAUACUAUUACGUAUGUAUAUCUACUAGUAGUACAUACUACUACUAGUAGUACUACGUACAUAGUACUAUGUAAUACUAUUACUACAUUGUAUAAAUUGUAGUGCUAAGUACUACCAGCAGUACUACUAGUAGUACUAUGUACUAAAUACAUAUGUACUAUUAGUAAUACUAUGUACUAAAUACAUAUGUACUACUAGUACUACUAGUAGUAUUACGUGUACCAGUAUGUACUAUGUAGUACAUAUGUACUAGUACUACUACUACUACUAGUACAUAUUACAUAGUACUACUAGUACUAGGAGACAUAUGUACUAGUACAUAUGUAAUACUAGUAGUACAUAGUAUAUAGUACAUAUGUAUAAUGUGCAUGUACAUAUGUACCAGUAGUACUAUAUACAUACAGCAUAACCAUACUAUGUACAUACUGCAUACCCCUACUAUGUACAUACUGCAAAACCAUUGCAACAAAAUCAAAUCUUUCAUAAUUGGCUAACAACUCCAAUUUCUUGCACUACUAGUACUAUUUAAUACCAGUACUACAUACUAGUACCUACUAGUAGUACCAGUAGUACAUAUUAGUAGUACUAGUAGUAUAUUCUACCAGUAUGUACUAGUAGUAUAUACUACUAGUAUGAACUAGUAGUACAUACUAGUACUAUAUAGUAGUACAUACAUACUACUACUAGUUGUAUUAUUAUUACUACUAGUAGUACUAUGUACAUAACACUAAUACCUAUGUAGUACUAGUACUAAAUAGUAUUACUACUAGUAGUACUAUCUAGUAGUACAAUUAGUACAUUUGUAGUACUUACUACAUAAGUACAUGUACUACAUUUGUAGUAGUACUAUUACAUAGUACUACUAGUAGCACUAUGUAGUACAUGUGUUAUACUAGUACUUGUAGUACUAGUGGUUCUAUAUACCACAUACAUAUGUACUACUAGUAGUAUAUAUGUAUGUAGUACAUACAUACAAAUGUACCACUAUUAAUAGUACUACUUGUACUAGUCGGUACAUACUUCAUAGUCAUUCUGGUAGUACUUCUACUACUAUGUACAUACUGCAUAACCACACUAUUUACAUACUGCAAAACCUUAUUAUGUACAUUCUGCAUAACCAUUGCAACAAAAUCAAAACUUUCAGAAUUGGCGAACAACUCCUAUAUCUUGUACUACUAGUUCUACUAGUAGUACAUACUAGUAUAUAUUAGUAGUACUAGUAGUAAUUACAAGUAGUAUGUACUAGUAGUACUACUAGUAUGUACUACUAGUAAUACUACAUGUACUAGUAGUACAUUUGUACUAAUACUAGUACUGCUAGUAUUAUUAGUACAUAAGUACUAGUAGUACAUGCAUAUGUACUACUAGUACAUACAUAGCAGUACAUACGUACUACUACUAGUAUGUACUACUAGUACUACUAGUAUAUACUACUACAUAUGUACAUAAACUAGUAGUAUAUACUACUACAUAAGUACAUCUACUAGUAGAACAUACUACUAGUAGUACUAUGUAAAUAAUACUAGUACCUAAGUAGUAUUAGUACUAUAUAGUACUACUCAUAGUAGUACAAUGUAGUAGUACAUUUGUAGUACUACUAUAUAGUAGUAAAAGUAGUGCCAUGUAGUACAUAUGUACAACUAGUAGUAUUAGUAGUACUAUAUAGUACAUACAUAGUAUGUACUUACUAUUACUAGUAUCUACAUACUACUACUAGUAUGUACAUACUAAUAGUACAUGCUAGUAGUACAUACUAGUAUGUACUACUACCAUUAUUAGUAUAUUCUACUACUACUAGUACUACCAACUUGUACUAGUAUGUACCUGUAGUACAUACUACGAGUUUGUACUAGUACUAUGUAUUUACUACUAGUAUAUACCAGUAUUAUAUAUGUACUACUACUAGUAGUACAUACUACUACUAGUACAUACUACGAGUUUGUACGAGUACUAUGUAUUUACUACCAGUAUGUACUAGUACUAUAUAUGUACUACUAGUAGUACAUACUACUACUAGUACAUACUUUCUAAUACCACUAGUACAAGUACAUAUAUACUUGUUUUACUAGUACAUACAUAGUACAUACUAGUACUAAUACGUACGUAAUAAAUAUUAGUACAUAGUAUAUACAUAGUACUACUAAUACAUAUGUAUGUACUAGUAGUUCAUAUGUACUAGUACAUACUACACAAGUACUAGUAGUACAUAUGCACUAAUAUGUACUAGUACAUACAACACAUGUACUAGUAGUGCAUACUACAUAUGUUCUAGCAUGUACUAGUACUACAUAUGUACACAUGUAGUACUAGUAGUACUACUAGUACUAGUAGUACAAGUACUAGUACAACUAUUACUAGUAAUACUAGUACUACGAGUACAUACUAAAAGUACUAAAACUACUUGAACAUACUACUACAUAUGUACAUGUACUAGUAGUACAUAAUACUACUAGUAGUACUAUGUACAUACUAGUGUGUACAACUAGUAAUACUAAUACUACUGAUAUGUACUACUAGUACUAGUAGUACAUAUGUACUAGUAUUGGUACUGCUAAUACUACUGGUACUUAUGUACUAGUAGUACGUACAUAUGUACUACUAGUACUUAGGUACUAGUAGUUCUUACAUAAGCACUACUAGUUCAUACUACUACAUAUAUACAUCUAUUUGAAGUACAUAUAACUACUAUUAGUACUAUGUACAUAGUAGUACUAUGUAGUAUUAGUAUUAGUCCUACUACUAGUAGUAUAUACUUGUACUACUACAAGUAGUACUACAUUCUAGUAAGCAGUACUAGUACAACAUAGUACAUAUUAGUACAUGAUAGUACUAUGUACAGACUAGUAUGUACUACUAGUAAUAGUAGAACUACUGGUAUGUACUACAAGUACUAGUAGUACAUAUGUACAAGUAGUAGUACUGUUAGUACAACUAGUAGUUAUGUACUAGUAGUAAAUACAUAUGAACUACAAGUACAUACAUAGUAGUGCAUACAUACUACUACUAGUAAGUACUACUAGAACAUACUACUGCAUAAGUACAUCACUAGAUGUACAUACUACUACAUAUGUACAUCACUAGAAGUACAAACUACUACUAGUAGUACUAUGUACGUAAUACUAUGUAGUAGCACUAAUAAUAGUAGUAGUACAACUACUAGUAUUUACUAGUACUACUACUAGUAGUACUACGUACAUAGUACUAUGUAGUAGUACUAAUAAUAGUAGUAGUAGUACUACUACUAGUAUUUACUAGUACUACUACUAGUCGUACUUUCUUCUAGUAUGCAGUACUAGUAGAUACUAGUACUAGUAGAUACUAGUACUACAUAGUACAUAGUAGAAUGUAGUAUUAGUACUACAUAGUACAUACUAGAAUGUAGUACUAGUACUACAUAAUACAAACUAGAAUGUAUUAUUAGUACUACUUAGUACAUACUAAUAGUACUACUAGUAGUUAGUACUAAUAGUACUACGAGUACUAAGUAAUAUUAGUUCUACUAGUAGUAGAUACUAGUAGUACUAGUAGUACAUACUACUAGUAUGUGCUAGUAGUACUACUAGUUUGUAUUUCUAGUAAUACUACAAGUACUAGUACUGCUAGUACUACUAGUACAUAUUACUAGUAGUACAUACAUAUGUACUACUAGUACAUACAUAGUCUAACAUAUAUACUAUUAGUACUAUAUACUAUUAGUACUACUAGUACAUAUAAAACUACGUAUGUACAUCUUCUAGUAGUACAUACUACAACUAGUUGAACUAUUUACAUAGUUAUGUAAUAUUAGUACUACAUGGUACUACUACUACUACUACUGUGUAGUAGUACAAGCAGUAUAUUUGAAUUACUUCUACAUAUAUACAUGUACUACUACAUAGUACAACCAGUAGUACUAAGCACUACUAGCAGUACUAUUAGUAGUACUAUGUACUAUAGACAUAUGUACUAGUAAUAGUACUAGUAGUACUACAUAUGUACUACUAAUACUACUAGUAGUACUACUUCUAGUACCACUUGUACCAGUAUGUACAAUGUAGUACAUAUGUACUAGUAGUACUACUCGUACUAGUACACAUACAUACUAGUACAUAUGUAAUACUAAUAAUACAUAGUACAUAGUAUAUAGUACAUACUAGUAGUUCUAGUACUACCUACUACUAGUACAUACUACUAGAACAUAAUAGUACUCCUACAAGUACUACUAGUACUAGAAUGUAUUAGUAGUAUGUAGUACUACUUUUACCUAGUAGUAUGUAAUACUAGUACUACUAGCAUGUACUAAAAGUUUGUAAAACUAGUACUACUAGUAGUUACUAGUACUAGUACGUACUACUAGUACUAAUAGUAUGUACUACACUAGUACUAGUAGUACAUACUAGUAUGUAGUACUAGUAGUACAUACUAGUAUGUAGUAGUACUAGUAUUAGUACUAAAAGUAGUAUUAGUACUCGUACUACUAGUAUGUACUACAAGAAUGUAUUAUCAGCAGUACUAGUCUUAGUAUUUACUACUGGUACAUACUCAUAGUACAUACUUAUAAUACUACUACUAGGAAUAGUAAUAGUACUACUAAUACAAGUAGUAAUACUACUACUAGGACUAGUACUAGUGCUACUAGUACAAGUAGUAAUACUUCUACUAGUACUUGUACUAGUGCUAGUAGUAUGUAUUAGUACUAGUAGCACAUACUAAUUGUACUAGUACCUAGUUGUACUAGAAGUACUAGUAGUACAUACUAGGAGUACUAGUAUUACUAGUAAUAUUAGUAUUAGUUCUAGUAUAAGUAUUACUAGUGUUAGUAGUAUGUACUAGAAGUAUGUACUACUAGUACCAGUACAUACUAAUUGUACUAGUACUAGUAGUACUUGUAGUACCUACUUCUAAUGCAUACUAGUAGUACUAAUAGUACUGUACUAGUACUAGUAAUCUUAACACUUGUAGUACAAACUAAUAGUACUUAUCGUAUAUACUAGUAGUACAUACUACUAAUAAAUAUUAUUUCUACUACUACCAGUACUAAUACACCUAGUGCAAGUAGUACUAGUAGUAGUACUACUAGUGUUACGUACUACUACAAGUACUAGUACAUACAUAGUACAUACUAAUACAUACAUAUGUACUAGUAGUACAUAUAUACUAAUAUGUGCUAGUACAUACUACACAUGUACUAGUAGUACGUACUACAUAUGUACUAGUAUGUACUAGUACUACUUAUGUACACAUGUAAUACUGAGCAGUUUAGGGUCAUUCUGUUUGGGCUGAGGCUGAACAGUUUAGUGAUACUAGUACUAGUCGUAGUAUGUAAAUACUUGUAAUAGUAUUACUACAAGUAGUACUAGACGUAUGUACUAGUAGUAUGUACUAGUACUACUUGUAGUAAUACAUUAUAGUAUGUACUAUUACUAGUAGUACUACUAGUACUAGUAGUACUACUAAGUACCACUAAUAUGUUUUACUAGUACUACAUAUUUACUAGUACUACUACUAGUAGUAUAUACUAAUGCUCCUAUUAAUAGUAGUGCAUUCUACUAUAUAGUCCUAUUACAUACUAGUACUACGUAGUACAUACUAGUACAUACAAGUACUAUGUACUACUAGUAGUACUAGUAGUAUAUACUAAUAGUAGUAUGUACCACUAGUAGUAGUAUUAAUAGUAGUACUAGUACAUAGUAGUAGUUGUAUGUACGACCAGUAGUACUAGUACUAUGUACUACUAGUAAUGCUAGUAGUAUGAACUACUAAGAUUACUAGUACUAUGUACUACAAGCUCUAAUAGUACUAUCUACUACUAUUACUACUAGUAGUACCUGUAAUACAAACCAGUAGUACUAGUAAAACAUACUAGUACUACUAGUAUGCACUACAGUGCUAGUAGUAUUAUAUACUACUAAUAUGUACUAGUAGUAUGUACUAUUAGUACUAGUACAUCUAUUAAUACUAGUAGUACUAGUAGCUGUACAUAGUACGACUAGUACUACUAGUAGUUCAUACUAGUACUACUAAUAGUACUAGUAUAAGUACUACUAGUACGACUAGUACUACUAGUAUGUACUAGUAGUAUUGUACUAGUACUACUAGUAUGUACUCCUAAUACUAUUAGUGUGUACUACUAGUAUGUGCUACUAGUAGUACUUGUACUAGUACUAUUAGUACUAGUACAACUGCAGAAUCAUGCUUUUGACAUUGUUACACCUUUACCCCCUGAAUGUGAAAAUACUGCCUUGUUCAUUAAAGUUGAAGACAAUUCCUAACUUAUUUUCCAUUACAUCCCUAGAAAAAUUUCACGGGCACGAUUGCUUGAAUUGAUUCCCUCCUCUUGGGUCACAAAUUAUGAAAAUUUAAAAACUCAGAGUCAAGCGGUGAUACAAUCAAAAUCUAAGAUGACCCGGAUGCAAGAUGGAACUGUUCAAAUAGAUUUUCAGUCAUCUAAAGAUAAUCUCACCAAAGAGAUUUUCCCUACUCAAUUCCAAGGAUUUCUUGAUAAAGCCGAAUGUUUCUAUCCCAAGUACUUCUAUGGCACCUGAACCUACACCUCCUGGUGUUACUCAACAGCAACUUCAACCAACUCUUGUGACACAACCCCCAAUUCUUCCAAAAAGUGAAACUCAAAUGGUUCAAGCAUCAUAUUCUGAUUCUGAUAUUGUUGCAUCUUCGGUGUUCACACAAAACCUUACUCAGUAAGAACCUUUGCAAGAUACGAGUUCAUUUUUAAAAAACCUUACCAAACAACCUGAGUUAAACCUUCAAACAGAAACCCAAUCCUCUGACUCAGAAUCUUCUGAUACAACGAGUUUUCUAGCCUCUUAUUCCUCUUUUUCUUCAGACCCUUUGUUCAUGAUGGAUCCCUCUGAACAACCUCUUGACCCUGAUCCAGACUCACUUAUAGAUGAAGAACCUAGACCUUAAAACCCUACCUAUGGAGAUUCAUCUAAAGGUUUUACAAUUGAUAACAUCCCUCCUUCAAAAUGGACUGAGAGAUUUCGAGAAAUACAAGGAUGGAUGCAUGCGGAAAUGCUAAACCCUGCAAAUAAAUUAACAAGCACAAUUUCAAAAGUUUUGGUACGACUUCGAGGACGAUUGUUUGAUUGAUAUUUAAGUCUUGGAGAAUACCGUAAAACACAUUUGAGAAACAGUCAAUCCAUUGUUGAAUUCUUGAAUUAUUUGGUAGCUGAAUUUACUGGCCCUGUAAAGCAUGAGCAGAUUACGGCCCGUGAAGAAUAUUUUCAGCUUAAGUGUUGUUCUUUUAAAAGAUAUGAUUUAGAAAAACAAUUUUCUGAAAUGAAUAAGUGUUACCACAAAAUUGGUGGAAUUGAUGACGUGAAUUUAAAGCAAUUUUAUCUUGAGUCUAUUCCUUCUACUCUUGGAAAGGAAGAAACAAAAACUAGGAAAAAUCAAGGAUUGACAGUUCAAAAUGUUUCUUUUGAGGAGAUUUAUCAGUUUUUCCUCCAUGCUUUGGAAAGGUUAUGUGACCAGGUAUAAUUUUUCAAACAGGUGGAGAAAAAUAGGCACCAUGUUGGCAAAUCUUGUGAUAAACCCCAUCUCAAGAUUAAGUGUGAUUCGAAAAAACAAUGUGCUUGCCCCCCUUUUAGAAAAAAGAAGAAGGUUGACCAAAAAAGGAGGAUUACUAUGUUACCUAUGGCAAUCGCAUUCCUUACCCUUCUGGACCUAUUAUUCCGACGGGAUGGGAUGAUAAAUCUGAUGUUGCUGAAUGCAUGGCUUUUGACUCUCAGGGUUCUAAUUAUGCUAUUAAUUUUCCUUCUUUGCAUGAUUAUGAGAAAAUCCAAGAACAUGAAAAGCAUGUGUGGAAAAUAAAAAACCCUAAUACCAGAGAUUCUUCAGGCACAUUAAAGAUUAUUUCUCCAGCCAAAGUAAGCCUUAACUGGCAGGCCGAAAAUGCAAAGUCUCAGAACAAAGCCUUGCUCCACCUUGAGGAAAAACAAAAUCUGAUGUCUUCUCAGUUAAUAGGGUUAGUUAGCAUAAUUACUGAUUUGAAAGGAAAGACGCAAUCUUUGCAUGAGGAGCUAAUGCAGAUUUUACAUUUUGUUAAAGAGACACAUUUACAAUCGUACAUGCUGGCACAGAAAGGAAGAGAAAAAGCAUUUUUGGAAACACAGCUGCAAAGCUUGGAAAUAGAUCUAUGGAUGAAAUCUCAGUACCCUCAAACUUCGUACCAGUCCUCUCCUAACUUGCCUCAACUUCAGCCCUUGUUAGGUACUCCUUAUAUCCCAAGUUACCCAACUUUGAGAUAUUCUGACCCUUUUCCUCUUACAAGAACUAUUUACCCUCCUACUGGCUUAAUACCUCCUAAGCAUUAUGGCUUUCAAUCUUUAAGUUCUUUAGAUACAGAAAGAAAUUUCUCAGAGGAAAAGUUUUUUCCUCAACUCAGGAAUAAGCAGAAUGUUUCUAUCCCAAGUACUUCUAAGGCACCUGAACCUACACCUCCUGUGUUAACACAAAACCUUACUCAGUCCGAACCUUUGCAAGAUAUGAGUUCAUUUUUAAAAAACCUUACCAAACAAUUUGAGUUAAACCUUCUAACAGAAACCCAAUCCUCUGACUCAGAAUCUUCUGAUACAACGAGUUUUCUAGCCUCUUCUUCCUUUGUUUCUUCAGACACUUUGUUCAUGAUGGAUCCCCCUGAACAACCUCCUGACCCUGAUCCAGACUCACUUAUAGAUGAAAAACCUAGACCUCAAAACCCUACCUAUGGAGAUUCAUCUAAAGGUUUUACAAUUGAUGACAUCCUCCUUCAAAAUGGACUGAGAGAUUUCGAGAAAUACAAGCAUGGAUGCAUGCAGAAAUGCUAAACCCUGCAAAUAAAUUAGCAAGCACAAUUUCCAAAGUAUUGGUACAAUUUUGAGGACUAUUGUUUUAUUGGUAUUUAAGUUUUGGAGAAUACUGUCAAACACAAUUGACAAACAAUCAAUCCAUUGUUGAAUUCUCGAAUUAUUUGGUAGCUGAAUUUACUAAGCCUGUAAAGCAUGAAUAGAUUAGUGCUUGUGAAGAAUUUUUUCAGCUUAAGUGUUGUUCUUUUAAAAGAUAUGAUUUAGAAAAACACUUUUCUGAAAUGAAUAAGCGUUGCCACAAAAUUGGUGGAAUUGAUGAUGUGAAUUUAGAGCAAUUUUACCUGGAGUCUAUUCCUCCUACUCAUAGAAAUGAAGCAACAAAAACUAUGGAAAAUCAAGGAUUGACAGUUCAAAAUGUUUUAUUUAGAGAAAUUUAUCAGUUUGUCCUCAUGCUUUGGAAAGGUUAUGUAACCAAGUAGAAUUUGUCUAACAGAUGGAGAAAAAAUAAGCACCUUCUUGGAAAGUUUUGUGAUAAACCCCAUCUCAAGAUUAAGUGUGAUUCGGAAAAACUAUGUGCUUGUCCCCCUUUGGGAAAAAAGAAGAAGGUUGACCAAAAAAGGAAAAAGAAUAAAUUCAAAAGAUUUAAGUACCUUCACAAAUCCAGAUUUCCAAAAAAUAGGAUGAAAAGUUAUCGUUGUUAUGUAUGUGGAAAGAAAGGACGCUUUGCAAAAGAUUGUCCUAACUAGAAAUAGAAACAAAAUAAUAUAAAUAUUUUGUCUGAAGUUUUGGAAGAAAAUGUUGAUGAUGAUCUUGAAUCUAUAUUCUCUCUAGAUGAUGAACAGAAUGAAGAUACAUUAAUUUCCUUUUCAUAUCCAAAUGAUUUUGAGUUGAAUGAAAUCAGCAAUACUGUGGUACCUGAAAUUUUGUCUCCCCAAGAUGAAACCCCAUAAAUAAAUAUCCUUCCAACACAACCUACCCCAAUUGCCUUUAUCCAACUCCUUUGUGAACAUUAUUCCAAACCCUUGACUGUCCCUGCCUUUUUUCACACUGGUGCAUCUACUAGCAUUCUGAAACUAGAUUUAUUGCCAAAAUAUUUUUGGGAAAAUUGCAACCAAACCUUUUGGAGCUGCUAAUGGAGAAAAAUUUUCUAUCCACCAGAUUAGCAAACCUGUUCUUAUUAAACUUUUUCCUAAAGAGGUUAUCCAGCAUAGGAUCUUAGGUUCCUACCUCCCUAACAAAGACCUCUUAUUAGGAUUUGAUGUUUUACAUCAAGAAAAACUUCAAUGGACAGCAAAAGGACGUCAUUUUAGAAACUUAACCUUAUCUUGGAUUGCUAGUCUAGACCAACCCCAAACCUUGGAAAACAUUAGAGAAAAAAUCAUUUCUGAAUUUUUUAAACCAUUGGUUUAAAAAAAAUGGUUUAAAAAAUGCUCCUACUUAUUUUCAAAAGCUUUUAACCACUAUUUUUCAACCCAUUUCUUCUCAAGCUUUGAUAUACAUAGAUGACAUCUUGCUCUUUUCUCCAAACUUGGAGAGUCAUGUCUCUCUCUUAGUAAAAAUUUCACUCCCGUACACACUUCUUUUCUGAUAACAUAAUUCCAUAUUUACUAGUAUCUACUACAAGUAUGUACUAUUAGUACUAGUAGUAUGUACUAUUAGUAACUAGUAUGUACUACUUGAUUUUUCCUAGUUUUUGUUGCUUCCUUUCCAAGAGUAGGAGGAAUAGACACAAGAUAAAAUUGCUUUAAAUUCACGUCAUCAACUCCACCAAUUUUGUGGUAACGCUUAUUCAUUUCAAAAAAGUGUUUUUCUAAAUUAUAUCUUUUAAAAGAACAACACUUAAGCUGAAAGAAUUCUUCACGGGCUGUAAUCUGUUCAUGCUUUACAGGGCCUGUAAAUUCAGCGACCAAAUAAUUCAAGAAUUCAAGAAUUCAACAAUGGAUUGACUGUUUCUCAUUUGUGUUUGACGGUAUUCUCCAAGACUUAAAUACCAAUCAAACAAUCGUCCUCAAAGUCGUACCAAAACUUUGGAAAUUGUGCUUGCUAAUUUAUUUGCGGGGUUUAGCAUUUCUGCAUGCAUCCAUCCUUGUAUUUCUCGAAAUCUCUCAGUCCAUUUUGAAGGAGGGAUGUUAUCAAUUGUAAAACCUUUAGAUGAAUCUCCAUUGGUAGGGUUUUGAGGUCUAGGUUUCUCAUCUAUAAGUGGGUCUGGAUCAGGGUUAGGAGGUUGUUCAGGGGGAUCCAUCAUGAACAAAGGGUCUGAAGAAACAGAGGAAGAAGAGGAUAGAAAACUCUUUGUAUCAGAAGAUUCUGAGUUAGAGGAUUGGGUUUUUGUUUGAACGUUUAAAUCAGGUUGUUUGGUAAGGUUUUUUUAAAAUGAACUCAUAUCUUGCAAAGGUUCUAACUGAGUAAGGUUUUGUGUGAACACAGAAGAUGCAACAAUAUCAGAAUCAGAAUCUGAUGCUUGAAGCAUUUGAGUUUCAUUUUUAGGAAGAAUUAGGGGUUGUGUCACUGGAGUAGGUUGAGGUUGCUAUUGAGUAACACCAGGACGUGUAGGUUCAGGUGCCUUAGAAGUACUUGGGAUAGAAACAUUCGGCUUUUUCCUGAGUUGAGGAAAAAACAUUUCCUCUGAGAAACAUCUUUCAGUAUCUAAAGAACUUAAAGAUUGAAACCCAUAAUGCCUAGGAGGUAUUAAGACAAUAGGAGGGUAAAUAGUUCUUGUAGGAGAAAAAGGGUCAGAAUAUCUCAAAGUUGGGUAACUUGGGAUAUAAGGAGUACCUAACAAGGGUUGAAGUUGAGGCAAGUUAGGAGAGGACUGGUACGAAGUUUGAGGGUACUGAGAUUUCAUCCAUAGAUCUAUUUCCAAGCUUUGCAGCUGUGUUUCCAAAAAUGCUUUUUCUCUUCCUUUCUGUGGCAGCAAGUACGAUUGUAAAUGUGUAUCUUUAACAAAAUGGAGAAUCUGCAUUAGCUCCUCAUGCAAAGAUUGCGUCUUUCCUUUCAAAUCAGUAAUUAUGCUAACUAACCCUAUUAACUGAGAAGACAUCAGAUUUUGUUUUUCCUCAAGUCGGAGUAAGGCUAAGUUCUGAGACUUUGCUUUUUCGGCCUGCCCGUUAAGGCUUGCUUCGGCUGGAGGAAUAGUCUUUAAUGUGCCUGAAGAAUCUCUGGUACUAGCGUUUUUUUUUUCCACACAUGCUUUUCAUGUUCUUGGAUUUUCUCAUAAUCAUGCAAAGGAGGAAAAUUAAUAGCAUAAUUAGAUCCCUGAGGGUCAAAAUCCAUGCAUUCAGCAACAUCAAGUUUAUCAUCCCAUCCAGUCGGAAUAAAAGGUCCAGAAGGGUAAGGAAUGCGAUUUCCAUAGGUAACAUAGUAAUCCCAUUUCCUAGAAAGUUCACCAAGUAAUCCAACAGUUGGAUCUCCUUUCAUAUAUUUCUGAUGGAGUUUUUGUUGGGAAGAAAGUUUCUUUUUCUUUUGAGACAAUUUCUUUUCUUUCUUCUCAUCAAAGCUAUCAUCAUUUUGAAUGCAAGUAGGACAAUCACAACAGUUAAACCAAUUAUGUCCAUCCACAGUUUUUUGCUCAUCGAUGGGUAUUCCCGUUUCAUCAAAAGCAAUUACUGGGACUUUUUCAAGAAAUCCUUGGAAUUAAGUAGGGAAAAUCUCUCUGGUGAAACUAUCAUUAGAUGACUGAAAAUCCAUUUGAACAGUUCCAUCUUGCAUCCAGGUCAUCCUAGAUUCUGAUUAUAUCACCGCCUGACUCUGGGUUUGUAAAUUUUCAUAAUUUGUGACCCAAGAGGAGGGAAUCAAUUCAAGCAAUCUUGCCCUUGAAAUUUGUCUAGGGAUGUAAUGGCAAACAGGUUGGGAAUUGUUAUCAACUUUAAUGAACAAGGCAGUAUUUUUACAUUCAGGGGGAAAAGGUGUAACAUUGUCAAAAGCAUGGUUUUGCAGUCUGUAUACCAUCUGAUAAUGAAGAGUGGCAACAGUUGCUGUUUCAACUUGUCUGGUUCCAGUAAUUUGAACUCGUACUUUGAAAGCAGAGCUUAAGUGAGGCUGUUUGACAGGAAUGUUGAAAUUAGGAAAGAAGGUAACAAAGAUGGUGCCAGCAUUAAGUACCGAGGCAUGCAUGCUGGUAUUCUAGAAACCUGGUAUCUAGCAAUGCAAUUAUGGUUAAAGCUUCCAUUCCUUUCCUACCAUGAAAGGUUAAGGCUAGUUUAAUAGCUUCAAAAUGGAUAUGAGUAUAUCCUUCUUUCAGCCAUUUGGGGAAAAGGUGUCUAGGAAGGUUUAUAGUAAUAUACUGCUCAGCUUGGGUUGCAGAGAUAUGGUGUUGGUCAAAAGAAGAAGCAUGAACAUAUUCUUUUAUAGCAGAAGGGUUAUCUUUCCCAUAAAGUUUCUUGAUUCGCUAGGUCCAGUUUAAGCUAGACUUGUCAAAAACAUGAUAAGGAUUAAUUAACUGAGACUUGGUUUUGAAAACUUUUCAAGAGUAUAGGUUAUUUCAAAAAGGUCUUCCUAUUUUGAAAACAUAGGUCCUAAAUCUUGGUUAGAAGAGGUGGUGACAUCUAUAGAAGUAUCUGAAACAUUGUCUUCAGCCACUUUUUCAAAAACAUAGUACUACUACUAGUUGUACAUACUAGUAAUACUAUGUACUACUAGUACUAGUAUUAAUAGUACAUACUAGUAGUACUAGUACUAGUACUACUAGUGCUAGGUACUAGUACUAGUACUACUUUUACUAGUACUAGUAGUACUAAUAGUACAUACUAGUAGUUCACACUAAUAUGAACUACUACUAUCUUCCUAAAAAGAUCCGAAUCUCAUAAUUUCCAAUCUAUCCAUUCAAGAUUUCCGUUUCUAGAGAACAAACUUUCAUAUUUCAUUUAUCUGUUAGAUAUACUAAUACCCCACCCAAUCCAUCUGGAAAUCUUGUUUCAAAGCCUUCACGAAUGGAUACGAGACCUUUCUUCUUUGCAUUUCUUGCAGUUUUUUCUCCACGAGCAUCAAAAUUGGAAUAGUUUCAUUACUCCAAAUAUAAAGAAAUGUGGUUCUGUUUUUCAAGAGUGAAUCAAAGAUUGUUUUUGUUCUUGUACAUUUUUCAUGUAUGUCAAUUUGAAUCCACUUUUUGUUUUCCUAAGUAAACAAUUUUUUCAUUUACGGUCGAUAUCUAUUGGAACCUUUCUUUAACGCUAUGGAAAAAGAGAAAAUUUUGUAGCGUAAUCAUUCUCAGAAGAUUUUAUGGUUGUUCAAGGAACUUUUCAUGCAUUAUGUUAGAUAUAAAGGAAAAUCAAUGAUGGCUUCAAGGGGCCUGAUGAAGAAAUGGAAAUCUCACCUUGUCAAUUUCUGGCAAUUCCAUUUUGACUUAUGGUCUAAACCGGGCAGAAUCCAUAUAAACGAAUUAUCCAAUCAUUCCUUCUAUUUCCCGAGCUAUCUUUCAAGUCUACGAUUAAAUCCCUCGAUGGUAAGGAGUGAAAUGCUAGAGAAUUCAUUUAUGAUAGAUGUUGUUAUCAAGAGAUUCGAUACAAUAGUCCCAACUCUUUUCCUGAUUAGAUCCUUCACUAUAGUCAAAUUAUGUAACGUAUCAGAGCAUCCUAUUAGUAAGUCGGUAUGGGCCGAUUCGUCAGAUUCUGAUAUUCUCGAUCAAUUUAGUCGGAUAUGCAGACAUCUCUCUCAUUAUCACAGUGGAUCCUCCAAAAAACACAAUUUGUGUUGAAUAAAGAAUAUACUUCGACUUUCGUGUGCUAGAACUUUGGCUCGUAAACAUAGAGCACGGUAGUCGCAAUUUUGAAAAGAUUAGGUUCGGAAUUAUUGGAAGAAUUCCUUAUGGCCUUUCUUUUUCCAAAACCCGUUUCCAUAGUGGACGAAUUUGGUAUUUGGAUAUUCUCUGUAUUCAUAGUCUGGCCAAUCAUGAAUGAUUUAUCGUGGCACCAUGUAAAAUGUAAAUAAAAAGUCUUCAUAACUGGUCAUUGUAUGUAUCUAUAUAUUCUAUCUAUUUAUAUUAUCUACAUAUAUAAUAUAGAUAUAAACAAGUCUCAUUCAUUGAAAUAUUUCAAUACUCUGCUCAUGGAAUGGAGUAGUAGUUGAAUCAACUUAGGAUUCAAGUUUCUUAUAUUUUUUUUCUAGGGAACCGAGUUUUAGAUGUAUACAUAGGGAAAGCCGUGUGCAAUGAAAAAUGCAAGCACGGUUUAGGGAGAGAUCCUUUUCUCUUAUUCAAAGAGUGAGAUUAUCUACUCCAUCCGACUAGUUCUGGGUUCGAGUCCCCAGCAACCCAUUCUUCCCAUAUGGAAAAAUAUUGAAAAAGAAUUUUUUUUUAUUCUUUGUUAUUGAAUUGAAGAAAUUCUCCAUUCAAUUUAUAUGUCAUAUGUCUUUCACCUCAUUUCUCAUUUACAAAUCAUUCGUAUAGAUCUAUCUAGAUUAGAUCUAGAGUCUAGAUAUCUUAAUUAGAUAUAGACCAACUAGAGAUAGAUAUCUUGCAAUAUUAGUCUAUCUUCGAUAUUGGUUGACACAAGCAUAUAGGUCAUGUUAUACUGUUGAAUAACAAGCCUUAAAUUAUCUAUUCUAGAUAAUUUGUGUGCUUGGGAGUCCCUAAUGAUUGAAUAGACCAAGAUCUUGCCAUGACUGCAGUUUUAGAGAGACGCGAAAGCACAAGCAUAUGGGGCCGCUUCUGCAACUGGAUAAUCAGCACCAAAAACCGUCUUUACAUUGGGUGGUUCGGUGUUCUGAUGGUCCCUACCUUAUUGACCGCAACUUCUGUAUUUAUUAUCGCCUUCAUUAAGGCUCCUCCAGUAGAUAUUGAUGGGAUCCAUGAACCUGUUUCUAGUUCUCUAUUUUAUGGAAGCAAUAUUCUUUCUGGUGCAAUUAUUCCAACCUCUACAGCUAUAGGUUUGCAUUUUUACCCAAUAUGGGAAGCGGCAUCCGUUGAUGAAUGGUUAUACGACGGUGGUCCUUAUGAGUUAAUUGUCCUACACUUCUUACUUAGUGUAGCUUGUUACAUGGGUUGUUAAUGGGAACUUAGUUUCCGUCUGGGUAAGCACCCUUGGAUUGUUGUUGCAUAUUCAGCUCCUGUUGCUGCUGCUACUGCUGUUUUCUUGAUCUACCCUAUUGAUCAUGGAAGUUUCUCAGAUGGUAUGCCUCUA